RNAcentral lists this ribosomal RNA (474 nucleotides) under unidentified nematode Sourhope farm. RNAcentral describes it as "SSU rRNA". It matches the Rfam family "Eukaryotic small subunit ribosomal RNA", at positions 58 to 529 of the family's 1831-position model. The record is from RNAcentral. Lineage: Eukaryota; Metazoa; Nematoda.
UCUAAGUAUAAACGUUCUAAACGUGAAACCGCGAAUGGCUCAUUAAAACAGCUAUAAUUCACUUGAUCUUGACACAAUCCUACUUGGAUAACUGUGGUAAUUCUAGAGCUAAUACAUGCAUUAAAGCUCUGACCUCACGGAAAGAGUGCAUUUAUUAGAACAAAACCAAGCGGCUUCGGCUCUUUUCGGUUGACUCAUAGUAACUGAGCUGAUCGCAUGGUCUUGCACCGGCGACGUGUCUUUCAAGUAUCUGCCGUAUCAACUUUCGACUGGUAGUGUAUCUGACUACCAUGGUGAUCACGCGUAACGGAGAAUAAGGGUUCGACUCCGGAGAGUUCGCCUGAGAAAUCGCGAACACAUCUAAGGAAGGCACCAGGCGCGAAAACUACCCACUCUCAGCACGAGGAGGUAGUGACGAAAAAUAACGAGACCGUUCUCUUUCGAGGCCGGUCAUCGGAAUGGGUACAAUUUAAA